RNAcentral lists this ribosomal RNA (337 nucleotides) under uncultured eukaryote. RNAcentral's name for it is "bacterial SSU rRNA". It matches the Rfam family "Eukaryotic small subunit ribosomal RNA", at positions 592 to 932 of the family's 1831-position model. The record is from RNAcentral.
CAAUAGCGUAUACUAAAGUUGUUGCAGUUAAAAAGCUCGUAGUUGGAUUUCUGUGCAUCGGUUGUUGGGCUACGCUUAUGGUGUGGUCCCUUCACCGCUGUACAUCCUGUUGGCAGACACGUGCUGGCAUUAAUUUGUCGGUGCGGGGAGACCACUCGUUUACUUUGAGAAAAUUAAAGUGUUCAAAGCAGGCGCUCGCUUGAAUACAUUAGCAUGGAAUAAUAGUAUAGGACUUUGAUCUUAUUUGUUGGUUUUAAAGAAUCAAAGUAAAUGAUUGAUAGGGACAUUGGGGGCGAUCAGAUUCUGAAGCGAGAGGUGAAAUUACUUGGACCUCGUA